AGCGAACGCUGGCGGCAGGCUUAACACAUGCCAGUCGAGCGGGCAUCCUUGUGGUGUCAGCGGCAGACGGGUGAGUAACGCGUGGGAAUGUGCCCUUCGGUUCGGAAUAACUCAGGGAAACUUGAGCUAAUACCGGAUACGUGCGAGAGCAGAAAGGUUUAUCUGCCGAAGGAUCGGCCCGCGUCUGAUUAGCUAGUUGGUGAGGUUACGGCUCACCAAGGCGACGAUCAGUAGCUGGUCUGAGAGGAUGAUCAGCCACACUGGGACUGAGACACGGCCCAGACUCCUACGGGAGGCAGCAGUGGGGAAUAUUGGACAAUGGGGGCAACCCUGAUCCAGCCAUGCCGCGUGAGUGAUGACGGCCUUAGGGUUGUAAAGCUCUUUUCUCCGGGACGAUAAUGACGGUACCGGAGGAAUAAGCCCCGGCUAACUUCGUG
This 437-nucleotide ribosomal RNA is filed under the name uncultured bacterium. Its description in RNAcentral is "partial 16S ribosomal RNA". It matches the Rfam family "Bacterial small subunit ribosomal RNA", at positions 29 to 507 of the family's 1533-position model. The record is from RNAcentral.